UCUCUAGGCACGAGGAGUCUCCAGGUUU
RNAcentral lists this non-coding RNA (28 nucleotides) under Mus musculus (house mouse). The record is from RNAcentral. Lineage: Eukaryota; Metazoa; Chordata; Mammalia; Rodentia; Muridae.